Molecule: non-coding RNA, 223 nt
Organism: Paramuricea clavata
Lineage: Eukaryota; Metazoa; Cnidaria; Anthozoa; Malacalcyonacea; Plexauridae
Source: the annotation of a GenBank genome assembly
ACGAAGCGGAACAUAAUAUGACAUUGGGGCCUCGUGAUUUCCAACGUAUAGUACUAUCACAAGAAUAAGAAGGUACAGCAGAAGCGUAACUCGAGUCGGUUCCCUUAUUGUUUUACGUCCACGAAAAUUUUAACUCGCUCACGCCAUCCUGGCUAGUACAACCGGAAGUUUUUAUAAGGUUUUGGUAGGUGCAAAGUGCCGGUGUCACAGAAGAUUCGCCCCC